This 322-nucleotide ribosomal RNA is filed under the name uncultured Pseudomonas sp. Its description in RNAcentral is "bacterial SSU rRNA". It matches the Rfam family "Bacterial small subunit ribosomal RNA", at positions 1063 to 1382 of the family's 1533-position model. Lineage: Bacteria; Pseudomonadati; Pseudomonadota; Gammaproteobacteria; Pseudomonadales; Pseudomonadaceae. The record is from RNAcentral.
UGUCGUGAGAUGUUGGGUUAAGGUCCCGUAACGAGACGCAACCCUUGUCCUUAGUUACCAGCACGUUAUGGUGGGCACUCUAAGGAGACUGCCGGUGACAAACCGGAGGAAGGUGGGGAUGACGUCAAGUCAUCAUGGCCCUUACGGCCUGGGCUACACACGUGCUACAAUGGUCGGUACAAAGGGUUGCCAAGCCGCGAGGUGGAGCUAAUCCCAUAAAACCGAUCGUAGUCCGGAUCGCAGUCUGCAACUCGACUGCGUGAAGUCGGAAUCGCUAGUAAUCGUGAAUCAGAAUGUCACGGUGAAUACGUUCCCGGGCCUU